This 2464-nucleotide long non-coding RNA is filed under the name Anolis carolinensis (green anole). RNAcentral's name for it is "lncRNA (ENSACAG00000043123.1)". Lineage: Eukaryota; Metazoa; Chordata; Lepidosauria; Squamata; Anolidae. The record is from RNAcentral.
UCCUAUAGCCUCCUGCACAGCGCUCACCAUGCGGCCGGCUGCACUUUCUUUGCACACAGGGACUCCAGGUGUUUUGGACUUCAACUCCCACAAUUCCUAACAGCCUACCAGCUGUUAGGAAUUGUGAAAGUUGAAGUCCAAAACACCUGGAGGGCCGAAGUUGGCCCUUGCCUACUUUCAAGCAAAAGCCGGAUGGACACCUGUUGACUGUGUGAAUCCUAGAAUGGGGCUUUCUCACAUACCAGGAUCCUAUGACUCCAUAGGAAACCUCUCAGGUUUCCUAGCAGUUCAAAUAUAUGCAAAUGUGGGUAGAUCAAUAGAUACUGCUCUGGCAGGAAGGUAAAGGUGAUCCAUGCUGGCCACAUGACCUUGGAGGGGUCUAUGGGCAAUGCUGGCUCUUCAGCUUAGAAAUGGAGAUGAGCGCCAACCCACAGAGUCAGGCACGGCUAGACAUAAUAUCAGGGGAAAAGGUUUACCUUUUACUUAUAUUUAUUUAUUCUGUAUGUCACCUUUUCUCCUCUAAAAAUGCUCUAAAGCAGACCAUAAGCAUUAAGUUUUUUACAGUUUUUUAUAUCGACCAAAAUAUCAUGAUAUAUUGAAAACAUUGACUACAAAAAUGCCUUGGAUAAUCCAGAACCUUGGAUAAGUGAGUCUUGGAUAAGUGAGACUCUAUUGUAUAUUGUAAUGAUAAAAUGAACUAAUUUUAAAAUACUAAGUUUUGAAUUUUCUGAUGAAAACCAAUUACUCAUUUAAAUUUAUGUUACAUCUAAUUGAUUGACUUUAGUUGACUUUUAGUAUUAAGAUAAUGCCAGAAUUAAGUUAUUAAUUAUAUUAGCAUAGUCUCUUAAUUAAUUAAUUAAGUUCUCACAAAUUUUACAUUUCCCAGCUGAGUCUUUAACAAACGCAAAUAAGUAAUAAGUAAGUGGAAGACAACAUUGUCUUCACGGGCCUCUUGAGAGAUUCAAUUUUCUCCUGGAAGUGGCUAAAGGAAUAGAACUGUCUUCUGGCCAGUCAUCCCUCACUGUUCUUGACCAUGAGAUAGCUGCAGUAGGGGAAAUUGGUCAGUGAUUUGAAGUGGAACAUGUAUUAGGUGUUAGCACUGAAUUCUUUUACCAAAGGAUAUUACAUACGCAAAUGUAACUGAAAGUAAUUCCGUGGUAUGUAACUAACAGACUUUUUACUUUUUCCCCAUUAUUAACACAUAAUAGUUUGAUUAACUCUAAGUAAAGUUUUGGAAUUAACACAUAGUCAGAGCACCUUGGAAGGGAUUCUCCACUAGACAUUGCAUAAAGACUCUCUCUUUUUUUGAUAUAGGAACUUAUUGCUGAAACUCUUAUCUACUUGAUGUUUGCUGGAGGAUGGAGAAAUCAACAGGGCUAAGAAAAGAGAUUACAAAUAUACAAUUAUAAGGAGUGUAAAACACAGGAGGAUUUUGAGAGGUGACAUUAUAUGACACUGCCAUAUAAUCCAGAAUAUCAAGGCAGAUACUCCACAUUAUCUACUUUGAACUGGAUAAUGAGUCUACAUUGCCAUACAAUCCAGCUCAAAGCACACAAUCUGGAUUUUCUACACUGCCAUAUAAAAUCCAGUUUACCUGUUUUGAACUCGUUUAUAUCGCAGUGUUGAUUCAUAUAAUUCAGUGGAAAGCAGAUAAUGUAGGAAGGGCCUAAAGCUGGAUCUACACUGCCAUAAAAUCCAGAUUAUCUGAUUUGAAUUUGAUUACAUGGCAAUAUAGACUCAGCAUCCACUUCAAAGCAGAUAAAGUGGAUUAUUUGCUUUGAUAACCUGGAUUUAUGGCAGUGUAGAUCCAGCCUAGGAAAUAUGGGUUGCAAGAGUUCAUAUAACUGUUUUCUUCUCUCUCAAGCUCAGUGCAAGAACGUGGGGAUAUAACAUUAGCAAUCACAUUGUUCAGCUUCAUUCUGGUAAGGUUUAUAAUAAAAAUGUUGAGUGUAUAAUAUAAUUAUAACAUUGUGUAUAAUCCAGAUUAUCAAAGCACAUAAUCCAAAUUACCUGCUUUGAACUAGAUUAUAUGAGUCUACAUUGCCAUAAAACCCAGUUCAAUGCAGAUAAUGUGGAUUUUAUAUGUGGCACUGGCAAUGUAGAUGGGACCUGAGUUAUACUUGGCAAUAAAAAAUAAAUGAUGACUACAUUUAAUAGUGUGGGCUGUAAGUAUACAAGGAUGAACAAGUAGGGAUGUGCUAUUUUAAAUUAUUCCUGUCAGGGAGAACCAAUAACUUAAUCAAUCUUAUUUCCAUUGCCAGAUGUUUUUGAAAGCUAUGCAGUUUUUGAAGUGGUCUUGUGGGAGAUAAAUUCUCUGGCAGAGAUGAAGAAGUGGGAUUUUUCUAACCUCACUGGAGUUUUUGGGACUCUCCAAACUCUCUUUUUCUCCCACCACCAAUCUUUCUUUCCCUAUGGUUCUUUCCCUAUGGUCUCUCUUUUUCUCCCACCACCAAUCUUUCUUUCC